CCUACGGGAGGCAGCAGUGGGGAAUAUUGCACAAUGGGGGAAACCCUGAUGCAGCGACGCCGCGUGAGUGAAGAAGUAAUUCGUUACGUAAAGCUCUAUCAGCAGGGAAGAAAAUGACGGUACCUGAGUAAGAAGCCCCGGCUAACUACGUGCCAGCAGCCGCGGCAAUACGUAGGGGGCAAGCGUUAUCCGGAUUUACUGGGUGUAAAGGGAGCGUAGACGGCAGUGCAAGUCUGGAGUGAAAGGCGGGGGCUCAACCCCCGGACUGCUCUGGAAACUGUACGGCUGGAGUGCAGGAGGGGUAAGUGGAAUUCCUAGUGUAGCGGUGAAAUGCGUAGAUAUUAGGAGGAACACCAGUGGCGAAUGCGGCUUACUGGACUGUAACUGACGUUGAGGCUCGAAAGCGUGGGGAGCAAACAGGAUUAGAUACCCGUGUAGUC
This 440-nucleotide ribosomal RNA is filed under the name uncultured bacterium. RNAcentral's name for it is "partial 16S ribosomal RNA". It matches the Rfam family "Bacterial small subunit ribosomal RNA", at positions 338 to 795 of the family's 1533-position model. The record is from RNAcentral.